UACGGGGGGGGCAAGCGUUGUUCGGAAUUACUGGGCGUAAAGGCUCGUAGGCGGCCAACUAAGUCGGACGUGAAAUCCCUCGGCUUAACCGGGGAACUGCGUCCGAUACUGGAUGGCUUGAGUGUGGGAGAGGGAUGCGGAAUUCCAGGUGUAGCGGUGAAAUGCGUAGAUAUCUGGAGGAACACCGGUGGCGAAGGCGGCAUCCUGGACUACUACUGACGCG
Molecule: ribosomal RNA, 223 nt
Filed under: uncultured bacterium
Lineage: Bacteria
Description: partial 16S ribosomal RNA
Rfam family: Bacterial small subunit ribosomal RNA
Source: RNAcentral